AGCCACAGCGCGCGGCGAAUGGCAGGUGAAAUCGCGCGUCGAAUUACGCAAUUACGAAGUAGGAAAUACGAAUUACGCAAAUAAAAAGUUUGUGGUCGCAUGAAGAGAAAAAAAAAGAAAAAUGGCGAAUGGCAGGUGAAAUCGCGCGUCGAAUUACGCAAUUACGAAGUAGGAAAUACGAAUUACGCAAAUAAAAAGUUUGUGGUCGCAUGAAGAGAAAAAAAAAGAAAAAAAAAUUGCGCGAAUAUCGCAGCGUGGGUCGAACCGACGACUUGGUGGACAGACAGACGGACAGACGGACAGACGGACGGACGGCGAAUCGGCCUAAGGCCUCCGCUAGACUACUACGUAGUCGCUACGGCUACAGACAGAAAGUUGGGGUAAGGUCUCCGUCCCGACGACGGAACGACUAAACGUCGUCCGUCUAACGUCGGGACUACGACUACGGAACGACUAAACGUCGUCCGUCUAACGUCGGGACUACGACUAUGAACUAGUUUGCGCCCAACUACGCAACUAGGCAACGACACAUCGACGCAACGACACAUCGACGCAACGACACAAGUACCCAACUACGCAGUUAUGCAACGACACAAGUGCGCAACUAUGCAACUUCCCAACUUCCAACUACACAACUACCCAACUACCCAUCAACAUAACUAACCAACUAUGCAAGUAGCCAACUACUACCCAACUAGCCAACAACAGACUAUGCAAUAUGCAGCUACCCAACUGUACAACUACCCAACUCCUUAUUUACGCAACUGCGCAACUAACCAACUAUGCAAAUACACAACUACCCAACUACGCAAGUGUGCAACUACACAAUUAUGCAAUUACACAAUUAUGCAACUACCCAACUGCCCAACUACCCAACUACCCAACUAUAUGAGUACACAACUAUCCAACUAUGUGAGUACGUACACAAAGUGUGUACACAACUUUGAAAUACACUUGCAACAACGUUUGUGGUUAUCUUGGUAUGUGUAGAAGUAUCCUUUCAUAUCACAUCGAUGUGCGUCACAUCCUGGCAGACCUAGCUGGACAUAUGCGGCCCAGUUGCAUCUGGCCGAGCAAUAUCCAACGAAUUGUGGGUGAACAGCCAGUGNNN
RNAcentral lists this long non-coding RNA (1111 nucleotides) under Volvox carteri. RNAcentral describes it as "long non-coding RNA (VCAR_LNC003811)". The record is from RNAcentral. Lineage: Eukaryota; Viridiplantae; Chlorophyta; Chlorophyceae; Chlamydomonadales; Volvocaceae.